This 71-nucleotide transfer RNA is filed under the name Clostridium kluyveri DSM 555. It matches the Rfam family "tRNA". Rfam says of the family: Transfer RNA (tRNA) molecules are approximately 80 nucleotides in length. Their secondary structure includes four short double-helical elements and three loops (D, anti-codon, and T loops). Further hydrogen bonds mediate the characteristic L-shaped molecular structure. tRNAs have two regions of fundamental functional importance: the anti-codon, which is responsible for specific mRNA codon recognition, and the 3' end, to which the tRNAs corresponding amino acid is attached (by aminoacyl-tRNA synthetases). tRNAs cope with the degeneracy of the genetic code in two manners: having more than one tRNA (with a specific anti-codon) for a particular amino acid; and 'wobble' base-pairing, i.e. permitting non-standard base-pairing at the 3rd anti-codon position. Lineage: Bacteria; Bacillati; Bacillota; Clostridia; Eubacteriales; Clostridiaceae. The record is from Rfam by way of RNAcentral.
GGGAGCGUAGCUCAGCGGGAGAGUAUCGCGUUCGCAACGCGGUGGUCAAGAGGUCAAAACCUCCGUCUCCG